This is a non-coding RNA of Xyrichtys novacula (pearly razorfish), 7539 nucleotides long. NCBI's taxonomy places the organism in Eukaryota, Metazoa, Chordata, Actinopteri, Labriformes, Labridae. The record is from the annotation of a GenBank genome assembly.
CUUUUAAAAUGACGAGACUGCUUGGCAGGGGUUCUCAACAUGGACCGUAGAAGACGAAGCAGGCAUUGUGAGCGAGAUAUUGGUAUUUUUUUUUUAAAAAAUCAUCUUAAAUUCAGCUUUUGUGGAGGAUCUGCAGCCCGUCACAGUGGACAGGAAUGCUCUUUGCUGAUUUGGCUGACUGAAUCUUGCCUUCGGUUCAGACAGCAGAGGCGGAAAAACACCAGAAACAAAAAUGGCAACCCUCCAGGAAACCUCAUCUCUGCACCUGUAGGUCUUGGUCUUGACUUGGCCAUUGCUUCUUCUGGGUUCGGUAGAUCUUGAAAACGUCCAGUAUGGUGCUACAUGAACGGAUAAGUUGAAAACAGCUAGCCUAAGAGAACAAAACUUUGCUUCCUUUGCAAAAUGCAAUAAUAGUGAGAUGGAUUGAGGUGGUUUGAAAAAGAAAAAUCCCUGAAAAUAGUGAGUAAUGCCAGUGAAGUAAACUUUUCAUUUAGAAGGUAGAAGAAGUUCUUGUAAAUGUUCCACAGUCAAAGCAAAAGUAACUCAAAAAGAAAAAAAAAAACCUCUGAAAAGAAAAAAGUGAAGGUUUGUGAGGAACACGAUGGCAGUCAAUGCUUUUUUGUACUACAAAAGGAUUGUUUGAGUUGGAUAGUGCUGCAAAACCACUUCCAGAGUAGUGUCUAAUAGCUGAAAGAGAAGUGCUUUUGCAAUACAGACGCCACCAAAAACUAUAAUCAAGGAGUUUCAUGUGACUAUGAUGUUGAAGUAUGGCAAAGGUGGUCCAUUCAUGGUGUUUUUUAAGUAAUUAUAUCCAUCAAAGUAUCACAAAAGUAUGAUUAAGGUGUUCAAAGGCAUUUUGAAUUUUAGAUGGGAGAUUUACAGUAAAAGUUUGCAGCACAGUUCGUUCUUCGUCAAGAUUUAACACUUUGGAAAGAAGCUGUAAAGCCCGUUCUUUCAGUGUCCUUAGCAACCGGGAACAAUAGGUGCACGGAGCAGCUAAAAACCUCCAUAUCUCCUGGGUCACAUGUUGCGCCUUUAAUACAGAGCGCGGGUUUUAAGAACUCACAAAGACAGUUUUUCGUUAAUGUGACGCAAACACAAAAACCCCGUCGAAUUAGGAGAUUUCUGCAGGAGUCCACCGGGAGUCGAUACAACAAGUCAGGGAGGAUUGUCAGGGCAUUAGUGGGGUAUAAGUACCCCAGCUCACUCCUCCUCUCUUUAUUUUACAGCUCGCUAGCCGGUGGCGGCGCUCGGCCCCUCCCCUCUCAUCUCAUCUCAUCUCGGCGCUCACUUUCUCCGACUCUUUCUGCCAGGAUUAGCUGUAAUAUCUCGCGGGGAGUCGAGGGGCCGGAGGAAUCCCAGCCACAUCACACGGGCUUACGCUUGGAAAACAAGCAUUAAGAGAGGGGGGAUUAAGGCUGAAACCCCCCGCUAAAGAGCGGCGUGUGCACAUGUUUGUGAGCGCAAUUGUGCGAGACGGAAUAAAACAACUCAUGAGGGAACUGAAAGAAUAGAUGGAGGGGGUUUUAGUGCCCAAAAGAGGCCCCAAAAUGCUCGCCUUCUGAGGAUCAGAUGCCGUAGCACCUGUUGGACCAACACGAGCCAUGAAAGUCCAAAUCUCCCUCGUUCUCCCGCCAACUUUUCAUCCCCCUCUCAUUCUCCCUCUGCUCCCCUUCUUGCCUUUCCUUUGUCAUAAUAGCCUGCAGAUGCUUUUCAUUUCACAAGCAAGGGUGUAGGUGGGAGCUUUCAACCCAGAGCGGUGCUUCAGCGAAAUCGGUGCCAACGCUGCUACAAACUCGCACACACAAUACGGCUCGGUGUGAUUCAUCCAGGAGCCUUCUGUUCCUCCUUUUCUGCUACUAGUUCAAGGCUUUUGUAGACUUCGCAAAUAUCGGUUGCACUGAUCACGUUCGGAGAAAGAGAGAAGAAGAAAAAAACAACAAGGACUUCUUUUUAGGAAUAAAGACAGCGAAUUGAUGCCGAAUUAGACGUCUCAGAAUGAGGUGUUAUUGUGUGAGAAAAGGAGCGCUUGACGAGCUGUUUUGCCUUUCAGAUGAUUUUGUUUGUGUGACACUGUCGUUAAUUAUGCGCCAUACAGAACAAUACGGCGCAUAUUGCAGCGACCAAAUGAGUCAGUCUCUGUAAAAACAACCAUUACGAAGGCUUUGUCAAUGCUGCUGAAUAACUUCAGUCAUUGUACAGUGUAAUUACACCUCUCUACCUCUUUCUGCCUACAAAUAAAUGAUUAGCUCUUAAUAGUGAUACAGUGCGGGAUCUUUCAGUGAUCGACCUUGUGGGGGGAACGGGCUGCGAGUUGAAUGGCUUCUUUGUCUCUCCAGUCAAGAAAAUUUAGAGGAGUGGUAAUUGAGGCCUCCUAAGAAGAAACGUUAAAUGACUUUGGGGCGAUAAACGGCUGCAAUCAGGGAGAUUAGAGUCCUUUGUUUCUUGCUCAUUGUGGAUCACGGUGACGCAAAGUCCACAAUAUCAGAUUUCCGGUAAUAUUCCAGUUAUCAUAUGUCAUGGAAAACAAACAAUAAAUCUGUUGAAUUGAGGACGUUUCAGUGCUUUACUUCCUGCACACUUGAACCUAAGCUUUUAUUUUGAAAUUAUGCAUCUUCCAGUAGAUCGUAAGUGACAAAACUGGAGGAGAACAGUUCAUCAGAUCCUCAAUAAAUCUUGUAAUGUCAGUAGUGCUGCAACUAACGACUAUUUUUUUGUCGACUAAUCUAUCAACUAGUCGUCCGAUUAAUCACUAUCUUCUUUAUUUGUAAACACCUAUUUCCGGGUCGUCAGCGUUUCAGGUGCUCAUGCAUCGCCGUGGUGCUGCCAUGGUAGGAAACCUGAGCUUUGCAUAGUUUGCACUCAACGUGUUUUUUUGGUUUGUUCUCCGUAAAAUGUUCCCACACUUUUGAAGUUUUGGGUCGGAGUUUUGGAGCGUCUUCUUCAGUUUUUUCUGCCAUAAUGUGUGCACUCUUCUUCAGUGUUUGCUCGCGGGAUGUAAACAGCGAGCGCAACUGCCCCCAGCACAUCCUGUAGUGCAAUCGUUGCAGCCCUAAAUGUCAGUUUUUUAAGGUCGCUAAUCAUCUCUUGAAGUCUUGCUAAAACUAGCUCACUAGCAGGCUUACAUUAGUUUGAAUUUCCUGAAGUUUAUACAGAUGUUUAGUCUGUUUUUUAUCUCAAAAGUCCAAACUUGCACUAGAGAAAUGUGAGGACUUACUGUCAAGCCAAAUUUCUCGUAUUCAACAAUACGCUGAUAACUGGCUAGUUUACUUCAGAGUUGAUUUCCUGCUUUUUGUUUGCUUGGAUUUGCUGAUUUUUGCUGACCUUAAACUCAUACUUUUGAAGUUAUCGGUCAAACCAAACCCUCCAAUAUCAAUCAAUACGCUGAUGACUUGCAGGUUUAGUAUCGUGUGGAUAGUUUGGGUAUGAUUGUGCAAAAAACACAUGUAUUUUCUUGCGUGUUUGUCCAGAGCCGUAUUUAUCAUUAAUCUCUACAUUUCCUGACACUGAAUUCGCUUGUUAGUUUUGCUUUAUUCCUGGUAUUUGUCGACAGGCGAGGUUGCUUUAAAAGUAUACAAUACUGUGUCGAGCAUUCAAACCAGUCGAGGGAGAAGAGAUAACUGCGGCUUUGUUUGUUCGAAAGCACUCGGCCACCGCUACAGCCAUGAAUGUAAUAAGCGAGGUGUUAAGUCUGACUGCACAGCUGCGAAGAAAAGACGGCAUUGAUAUGAUUUCAUAUGGUGAAGAUAGAAAAGGCUCAGAAACCCAAGAUAUGACUGUUUACUUUACUCAGUCGUACGCAGAAUAAACAACAAAACAGAUUAGUUUUUCGUAUUUUUUAUGUCCAUUCAUAAUCUUAAUUACUCCAUAUAGCUAACAGUAAUUGUAUAAAUCACUGGGAGUUGAAGUGUGAAAACCAAGAGCUGCAUUAACAUCCAUUUAAAAGCUGCAUUAUAAGCUUAAAUGUCAAGUUUCGCACGUUGAAAGUAAAUUUGACCACGCUUAGAGAUGACUACACUUUAAAAAUGUCUUAUCUACAAAGAUAAUCUAAACGCCCUUUACUUUGACUCACUGAUAAUACAUGUGUCAAAACGCUGAAUGCCAGCACUUCCUCCAUUCUUACGUCCACAGAUUAAAAAUCUUCUGGGACGCGCGGUGACAGUUUCAGCACACGACCUGGAAAACCAGAACGAAAGAACAUUAGGAUGACACAAAGAUCAUGCUCCAACAAACCAAGUGAGAUCACAAAGCAGCCCAAGGUCAAAGACGGAAAUGAAGCUAUGUAACCUCUGAAUGCCACUUAGUGAGGAAGACCACCUGGAGCUGCGGAAAACAGAGGGCAAUUUUCACUUAUCCUCCAAGGGUUCACUCCUCUUCCCAGAGCCGAGCUCAGAUGAUUCAACGGAUGAGAGGAAGGACACCUGGAGCAGCAGGCGCUCCAAUCGAUACCCAGCUGGCUUUUGCAGUACCGGGGGGUCAGAGUGUCGAGCGCUUGAUUGGUGGAAAAGCCCGAAAUAACCUGCAGCUUGUCGUGGAAUGCGUGACCCCGUCAUUGACACGGCACUUGGCCAGAUUGGAGCAACACCAACGAAUCCAGACGUGAGAAUAGAGCGAUAUUGGAUUUUUCAGCUCCUCAGCCUUUUGAGUUCUAUCCAUUUUACUCUCUGAUUUUAAGUUGACAUGCUCUGCUCUGGCUGCUAUAUUGUGCCUGUUUAAAUUGCUGUGAAAUUGUUAUCUGUUUUUGUGUCUCCUGCGGUGAGGAAAAUACGUACCUCUAUUACAUCCUUUUGUAAACCUGCUGCGAUGUACAGAAUAAAAGUUGAUGUACUUUCAGGAUGGCAGAAUCCCAGUUUGCUUGUAUGAACUUGAGAAGAGUUUACUGCUGCCUGUUACUUUGACUGGCUCUUCAAACGGAUGUGUUAGUCAAUGACUCAUGUCAGACGCUGGCCUGAUCAAUAUUUGACAUAAACAAUGCCUCCAUGAGAGCAAAAAAUGGCCGCUUGUUACGGAAAAAAUGACUUUUUGCUUCCCUGCCAUUUAAAGGAACUUUUUAACAUCUUUCAGCUUAUGUUUUGUUUGUUUUUUUUGGCACAUUUAGCAUAUUAUCAAUUCUGCUUCAGUCUCAUAGCUUAUGUUAGCAUUGAUAAAAUCAUAAAUGUCCCAUACAAUAACAAUAUAAUCAAGUUUUCCUUGUUUUUACAUCCAAACUUCAUUCUUUGGUGUUUCGGUGUGAGUUCUCCUGGAGGGCUCGCCGAUUUGAGUGUCAGAGUUUUUCCACCUCUACAUUUCUUCAACAGCCGAUCAGCAAACACUCUCAUAAUCACAAGGAUGAUGAAGUUAUAAACUGAGAGGCUGCAGACCCUUGUUUUAAAGCCAUGUCUGGACAAAAAUAGACAUUACUUAGAAAGAAAAUUACCAAAUCUCUUUUGACUAACCAUUCAUGGAUAAAUCAGUCCACAGCACAAAGUGUUGCCCAGGAAAACAUCAAUGAGUCCCUUUCAUUUGAUGUCAAGCCCCUCACCUCCUUUCAGCAGAUAAACAAGCUCCUGAAUGCAGCAGCUCCAUUCAGGACCAGCGGCUUUUGUGCGAAGCCACUGAAACAUAAAAUUGCUAAAUAGCUCUCCCUCAACAAAGAAGUCCUACCUGGCUGCUUAUGAACUAGUCGUGAAGCAGCCGUCACUUAACAACCACCGCCCUCUAUCCAUCCUAGCGUCCUUAACACCUUAAAUAAAUCCCCUGUCCAUCUCAGAUGACAAGAUAAAUACCAUCUACCUUCUAACCAGACAGGGAAACCUGUCCACCCUGGAGGGGAGUAAGCGUUCGCUUCCCUAAAGGAGAGAUAAGGAUAAGUGAUGGUUUGUGAACCAACAAGCUCUUCAAGAUAAACUGAAGCUUUUGACUUUGCGGAGGGAAUUUUUGUCCCCAGAUGAAGGGCAGUUAUCCUUACACGCGUUCAUGAUAGCUACAGAUAAAGCUUUGUUAAGCUGACUUUGCAGGGGGAUUAUUUUUGCAUUUAUCUGCAUGUAAUUAUUAUUUUUUUAAUUUGGGAGGACAAACACAAACUCCCAGUGCUGGAAUUUGUCCAAAACAGUCGGGGGGGAUAAAGAGGAAAAUCAUGUGGAGAUUAAGAGAAAAGGUGAUGAUAUUUGCAGUGAUCUGCAGCAUCUGUAAAUAGAGGCGAAGGAUAGACGUGGCUUUGUCAUUGGUAUUCCAAAUAAAUACCCCUUCCUCUGGAGGUUAUUACUCUUUUCUUAAACAUAAAUAAAACUUGUAUUUUCUUGUUGCACUGGGGUAUUCUUGGGUUGCACUGCACAUUACGUAUUAUUGAUGCACUGCAGGAAAAAACUCCACAAGUGUGGACUUUUACCUCCACUCACAGUGACGGAUUUGCAAGGCCACUCAUCUUUUUCCUCUUUUCGUCUCCCUGCAGUCCAUUUUCGCACAGUAUCUUCCAAAAUCCAAAGUCCCAAACAGAUUUUUUAAACCCGUUUUCCUCCACACGGCCGCAUCGAAAAACCACCACAUAAAUAUAUUUCCUCAAGGAUGUGUCUUUGUGCUUUACCCGGAGAAUAUCAGGAAUGAUUAAAAAACCUUUCAAGGGCUUUAUAUUUUUUGGCUGACUUCCUUUGCCUCUCUCCUGGUGGUUAUUUAAGCUUCCAGAUGUGAGAUAUGGGUAGUUAGAAAUCCAACUCAUACGCCCCGAUGAGAGCAAAGUGUCAUUUCCAAUCAGGAGCGAAUAGUCGCGCAACACCUGUUAAAAAUCUCCCCAAACUCUAAUAAAGCGCGAUUAAGUGUGGCAGAUAUUGGAGGAGUGACGCAACACACUAACAGCAGAUGUGAAAAGGAUGUCAGGACGAGUCAUGCGGGGAUGCUCUGUGUUAGCGCCGGAGAUGAUUGGGUGAACGUCUGGUCACCUGUGAACGUUUCAUGGUCAAGGUGCGGUUUUCAUUAGCCGGUAAAGCAGAUGUGACGGUCACCUGCAGGAGACGGUGGAGGCGGCAGAUUGUGGAAUCAAGAUGUGAAGCAACUGAGGUGUGUUCCUCGUUAGUCAUGUGACUUCUGUGCACAUGGAGUUUGGACUUGUUUGUGGUUCUUGAAGACGCGAAACGUUCCUGUUGCAGAUAUCGCUUCAGUUUUUGCCCCAUCUGUCAGGAAGAAAACAGAAGGAAUGCAAAAAAAUAAUCCCCUAGAUUUCUAUUUUGAGCGUCGGUUUUGGUGAAUUUUUGCAAAAACACUAUUUGCAUGCGUCACAGACAUGUUGAAACCUGAAUGCUGAGCGAGUUCAUUUAGAAAAUAAGUUUUCAGUCUUGACUUUGACCUUGGGUCGGGGGCGUGUUGGUGCAGCGAGAGGUUGGGUGCAGAGGGACCCGUUUGGUUUGGCAGGUGUGGGCAGGGUGCCAGGAUGGGGCUUCUUUGAUAUUCAGCACUCGGUGAGGGAAACGGAGAAAGAGGAGGUGGGUGAGGGGAGAAAAUUGGAAGAAAAAAAAAAGGAACAAGAUGGAAAAGGAAAUGGAGAGAGCAGGAUACAGAAGACUGAGG